AUGUAUUUGCUGGAGCUCUGCACUCUGUGCUCUGCAGAUGACCCAACAGACCUCACAGCUGCAAGGGUUAAUUCUGUCACGAUUGCAGCAAUGCUGCACCAAGCCAGAGAAAUCAUAACAACAGAAACACAUUUGUCUGGUGGAGUGAACAGAAGAAAUGUUGCAGAAUUGAGAUACGAAGAACCUCACUACAGAAUAGAAGGAGAACUGUCAUGCUGAUUGUUUGUCAUUAUUGUUUCAUGUCUAGUUAAGUGAACUUAAAGUGACAGUUGUGUCAUAACUGCAGGCAUCUAUGUAAAUUUCAAAUCAAAUACGAUAGAGGCAUUUCUGCCAGACAGAAGUCACCAGGCUGCUCUUCCUCUUCAUUUUUGUAACCCUCCAUUUUCUCAUGCCACUGCUGGUAACCUUUAAAUUAAAAAGACAACUUCAACAGGGGAUCUCUGUGAUCUGUGUGUUUCAGUGCUCAGCCUGUACCUUGCUUUCUCUCAGCUUUUUGAAACAAUGCCCUGUGUCAAAUUUCCACCAGAAGCAGUCACCACAAACAUCUAGAUGGAUUAGUUAAACCUGUGCCUUCCCAUUAAUGAUGUAUCACACAACAAGACUCUGUGAAGUUCUAGGUUGAGAACGUCCCCUGAAGACCUACAGAGAAAACAGCUCAAGCAAAUGUUCCUGCACUGGUUUACUGCAGCCCAAGCCAGACGUCUUCUCUGUGGAUAGGAGCAAAAUAGGCAGAAAACAUGGUCAUGGACCUUUCUGUACAUUACAGCAUUGUUCAGAGAUCAUGGGAACUUCAUAACGAUAUCAGACAUACUUCUCCAUUGCAAUGAGCUACAUGUAAAUAAUUAAUUUCCGGGAUACACUCAGAUAUUCUAAUUACACAGGAUUUGCUACUGGACACACAUACUUGAAAAUAAUUUCAAUGCAAUUAUAAAGGUAUUUUGUGUGGACAACACCAUGAAAAAAUAUUAAACAUGCUAUUUAUUCACUCAGGGAAAAUAUACUAUUUUUUCCACAUAUUUAAAGUUACUUGGUUAAUUAAUUAGAUAAUACAGGCUAGAGUUAAGUUUUCAUUUUUCAUUGCAGCACAUUGCAUAAAUGAUACUGUUAUAAACGUGUACCUCUGCAUUAGGUAAGUGCAUUUUGGUCAGCUGAUUGAGUCAGAUUUUUUUUUUUAAUUCCUUUCCAGCUGAUCUUUUUUGUAGUGUAAAUUUAAAGUAGCUCGGUGACUCCUAUAAUUUGGGCCUUCCAAACAGCACCAAAUUGUGCUGUCCUGCCCUUCCAUUUGUUACAGUGACUAGUGAAAAGAGGCAAUGUAUUAAUGCCAGUCCUAUAAAAGUACCUGUGAAGAAAACAUUUUUUUACCCCAAAGGGUAAGUUCUAUAUGAGUUUAUAUUAGGUGUUUGUCAAAGGACUUUUUUUCCCUGUUAAAGACGGAGUCCUAUGAAUCAUAAAAAUAAUCAUAUUUGAGACAAAAUAUCACUACAGGUAUGUCACAAUAAAAAUCAGUUGUUGGUAUAUGUUUAAGAGUAG
This 1530-nucleotide long non-coding RNA is filed under the name Chloebia gouldiae (Gouldian finch). RNAcentral's name for it is "Erythrura gouldiae (Gouldian finch) lncRNA (ENSEGOG00005003982.1)". The record is from RNAcentral. Lineage: Eukaryota; Metazoa; Chordata; Aves; Passeriformes; Passeridae.